RNAcentral lists this long non-coding RNA (561 nucleotides) under Equus asinus (donkey). RNAcentral describes it as "lncRNA (ENSEASG00005026188.1)". Lineage: Eukaryota; Metazoa; Chordata; Mammalia; Perissodactyla; Equidae. The record is from RNAcentral.
GAGAACCACUGUCCAAAAUGAACUAUCAGGGGAGGGUAAAGGACAGGGAAACUAUGGAAAGGGUCCUAGAAAGAACAAAGAAUGCAAAGAAAUCCAUGAAGAGGAGGCUGAAGAACAACUGGGAUCACUGACCCCCCAGGAAAUACCACUUCCUAAUUCAUGAUCAUGCAUGAAAGCUGACCCAGAUACGCCAGACAUCACGGGAAGGAAGAGAGGUCUCUGUCCUCCUCCAUCAGCACCUCAGGGACCUCCUCAUCCACAGUGACCUUGGCAGCGACUGGGGACAGGGCUUCCGAGAACAACUGGCUGAGGGAUGCAGGCUAGCAGAGCGCCUUGUCCACAAGCUUAGCCCAGAAAACCUGGAAGACGAUGAAGAUGAGGAAGAACAAGAAUCACUGACCCCCCAGUCUGGAGAGGGAGCUGCAGGAGGCGAAUGUGAAUGAAAUCCUUCAAGAUCCAUCAGUGAACAGAAUUUGACUCCUUCCAGUCCUUGUGAUCUGUCUGCCUCCGGGGAGCCCCUCAGAAGCACUGCCUUUCCAUGUGAUGAGCCUCAAGUCAGCU